UACGUAGGGGGCGAGCGUUGUCCGGAGUUACUGGGCGUAAGCGCACGCAGGCGGUCUGCUAAGUUUGGAGUGACAGUUGGUGGCUUAACUGCCAAAGUGCUUCGAAACUGACAGACUUGAGGGCUUCAGAGGACACGGAAUCCGGGUGGAGUGGUGAAAUGCGUAGAGAUCGGAGGAACACCAAAGGCGAAGGCAGUGUCCUGGGGAGUACCUGACGCUCGAGGUGCGAAGCCAGGGGAGCGAACGGG
RNAcentral lists this ribosomal RNA (248 nucleotides) under uncultured bacterium. RNAcentral describes it as "partial 16S ribosomal RNA". It matches the Rfam family "Bacterial small subunit ribosomal RNA", at positions 524 to 776 of the family's 1533-position model. The record is from RNAcentral.